This 323-nucleotide ribosomal RNA is filed under the name uncultured Bacteroidales bacterium. Its description in RNAcentral is "partial 16S ribosomal RNA". Lineage: Bacteria; Pseudomonadati; Bacteroidota; Bacteroidia; Bacteroidales. The record is from RNAcentral.
GGAGUUUGGACCGUUCUCAGUUCCAAUGUGGGGGACCUUCCUCUCAGAACCCCUAAAGAUCGUCGCCAUGGUGAGCCGUUACCUCACCAUCUAGCUAAUCCUACGCAUGCCCAUCUUAUACCAGAUAACUCCUUUCUUUGUGAAAAGAUGCCUUCCCACAACAUUACGGGAUAUUACGCACCGUUUCCAGUGUCUAUCCCCCUGUACAAGGUAGGUUGCAUACGCGUUACUCACCCAUCCGCCGGUCGCCAUCACAAAAGUAUUGCUACUCUCGCACGCUGCCCCUCGACUUGCAUGUGUUAAGCCUACCGCUAGCGUUCAUC